UACGUAGGGCGCAAGCGUUGUCCGGAAUUAUUGGGCGUAAAGAGCUCGUAGGUGGUUUGUUACGUCUGCUGUGAAAACCUAGGGCUUAACCCUGGGCCUGCAGUGGAUACGGGCAGACUAGAGGUAGGUAGGGGAGAAUGGAAUUCCCGGUGUAGCGGUGAAAUGCGCAGAUAUCGGGAGGAACACCGGUGGCGAAGGCGGUUCUCUGGGCAUUACCUGACGCUGAGGAGCGAAAGUGUGGGGAGCGAACAGG
RNAcentral lists this ribosomal RNA (253 nucleotides) under uncultured bacterium. Its description in RNAcentral is "partial 16S ribosomal RNA". It matches the Rfam family "Bacterial small subunit ribosomal RNA", at positions 524 to 776 of the family's 1533-position model. The record is from RNAcentral.